CAGAGACUGCAAGCGUUAUUCGGAUUCACUGGGCGUAAAGGGUGCGCAGGCGGCCAUGUGUGUGAGGCGUGAAAGCCCGAUGCUUAACAUCGGAAUUGCACCUCAAACUACAUGGCUAGAGCAUUGGAGAGGGUAGCAGAAUUCACGGUGUAGCAGUGAAGUGCGUAGAUAUCGUGAGGAAUACCAGAGGCGAAGGCGGCUACCUGGACAAUUGCUGACGCUCAGGCACGAAAGCGUGGGGAGCAAAAGGGAUUAGAUACCCCUGUAGUCCACGCCCUAAACGGUGCACACUAGGUCUUAAAGGAUUCGAUCCCUUUAGGGCCCAAGCUAACGCGUUAAGUGUGCCGCCUGAGGACUACGGUCGCAAGACUAA
RNAcentral lists this ribosomal RNA (373 nucleotides) under uncultured organism. Its description in RNAcentral is "bacterial SSU rRNA". It matches the Rfam family "Bacterial small subunit ribosomal RNA", at positions 526 to 897 of the family's 1533-position model. The record is from RNAcentral.